CAGCUUUUUUUUUUUUUUUUUUGGGUGAUAAAGUCCUAAAACAUUUAAAAAGGUUCGUCUUUUGCCUUUCUCCUAUCCGGUAGUUGAACCUAGAUUCCAUUAAUCAAAUAUGAUAAAAAAAAAAUCCCUUUUUUCCUUUAAAUUUCAGCCUAAAUCCUUUUUCUAAAAUUACAAUAAAGAUCUAAAAUAUUUUUGACCUUUUAAUUUUCUGAUUUGUAUAAAAAAAUAAAAAAAAAACUAUAGUUCACCAAUAUUAAAAAAAAAUCUAUGUUUUUUUUUCUCGAACGACAAAUCAAAAUAUUCUAACAAAUUUUUUUAAUUAUAUUUCAGUCCUCAAUUAUUACUGAAAUCGCAACUUAGAUCAUCUAAAAUGUAAUUAAUUUUUUUUACUAUAUGUAAAGUUGAGUGUGAUGAAUUUGAAAUUGCACAUCUAAGGAAGAUGGAAAAAUUAAAAAUUUUUAAUUUGCUAUUUUUGACAGUUGUUUGCUGAUUUGAAAUUUCUUAUCUUUUCAAAUAUUAGGUAGAGAAAGUAGUUUAAAGCAAAAAGUGCACUCAACAACAAUAACAAAUGUAUAAUACAUAUAGAAGUAUAAGAAUUAAGCUAGAGAAAACCAAUGCCUUAAAAUGGUAUAUUAAAGUAGAAGAAUUCAUGAAAAAAAGAAAAUAAUGAAAAAGAAGAGAAUAAAGAAAGAAAAAAAAAAAAGGCAUGAAAGAGAAUACAGAGAAGGAACAAGUUAUAGAGAUUCAAAACAAUAGAAUAACAACAACUAAAGAGCAGAAAACAAAAACUUCCUCUUUUUUUUUUUAUUCAUCGGAAGCGGGGACCACUGAUGUAGAAUUUUGGUUUGACUGCCUUAUAACAAGAAAUAGCUUUGAAGACUUCUUUAUAGAAAGGAACAAACUUUAAAGCUUUUGCUGUUGUUAUCCCUAAAUGAAUGUAUGAGCAAACUUCAAAUAUAAGACAAAUUAUUGGAUAUAAAAAAAAUAAUAAAAUCAACUUAUUACAGAUUACUUCUUAAGUUAAAUUUACUUAAUUAUAGUAUAUAAUAAAUCCAAUAUUAUUCGUAUCAUUGAGCAGAUACAGAUUAUAUAUAGCUUAUAACUAUACAAUAACAAUAAAUCCUUAAUACUAAACUAGUUAGGGUUGAUCAUAUGAAAUUUUUUUUUUGUCAUUCAGCUCUGUUUGACACCAAUUCUGCAUCAAUAUUCAAA
RNAcentral lists this unclassified non-coding RNA (1212 nucleotides) under Hevea brasiliensis (rubber tree). The record is from RNAcentral. Lineage: Eukaryota; Viridiplantae; Streptophyta; Magnoliopsida; Malpighiales; Euphorbiaceae.